Molecule: long non-coding RNA, 914 nt
Filed under: Zea mays
Lineage: Eukaryota; Viridiplantae; Streptophyta; Magnoliopsida; Poales; Poaceae
Description: long non-coding RNA (ZMAY_LNC003557)
Source: RNAcentral
UUGGUGUCUUAGCGGUUCGUGUUUGUAAGUCUAAGCUCCUCUUCCCAGCCACCAACUCGAUCUGCCCUAGUCUUCCCAUCUCCUACUUAAGUCAAGGUCCAGUAGGCCGUGCAGUCCUAGAGCUCGAGUGAUCUCCUUGGCUCUUGUAGCCUAUGUUUCCCCGGAGUUAAUCCCCUCCCAAUAUCUUGGUCCAUCUGCCCAGAGCUUGGUGUACCAGUCCCUAGGUGGUGACCAUCGUCGGCUGUUAGUCCACCUCGCCGUGACCAGGUAACUUCAAGGGUUUCCUCAGUCGAGUUGUGCAUAUUUUGUGCUCUACAUAAGGUAGAGAAGCUCAUAUGAUGGUAAACCAUUCUCCUUAAGUAGGUUUGGUUUGGGGUGUAUGGAAAAUAGAGUGAAAGCUGCCCAAAAAUGGACUGUGAGUUUGCACUGACUGAAUUUUUGUUCAGAUUAGCUGAAAACUGGAUUGCAGCAGAUUGCUCAGUUUGGAGCUCUCCUAUGACCAGUUCAUGAGGUUUUGGGUUACCAGUUGUAUAGAAAAGUCAAAGACCAGAUGAAGGUGAACAAGCUUCAUCAGAGGAGUGGGGCUUACUACUGUGUAAAAUAUGGAGAAAUAUGUGCUGCAAUUUUCUAUGUCAGGUGUUGUGUUCAGGUCUUUUUCAGUUAGCUGAAAUUUAGCCUUUGCGUUUCCACCUCAAGUUUGGUGCUCUGUAACUUGAGAUCUGUUUAGGGUUAGCUAGUAGCUGUUGUAACAAAGAUGGAGAGAGAUUAUAGAGGAACCAUUCAUAGUAAGGAAAUACAUUGAGCCCUCAUAUGGAAUUGCGAGAAAAUAGUGUUACAAAACCCUCUGUCAGACUUGGAGUGGGCUGUUUCAGCUAACUGAAAACCGGUUCAGGGUGUUGUUUAGUCAACUUUGG